RNAcentral lists this ribosomal RNA (498 nucleotides) under uncultured bacterium. Its description in RNAcentral is "partial 16S ribosomal RNA". It matches the Rfam family "Bacterial small subunit ribosomal RNA", at positions 29 to 523 of the family's 1533-position model. The record is from RNAcentral.
AUUGAACGCUGGCGGCAUGCCUUACACAUGCAAGUCGAACGGUAACGCGGGGCAACCUGGCGACGAGUGGCGAACGGGUGAGUAAUGCAUCGGAACGUGCCCAGUAGUGGGGGAUAGCCCGGCGAAAGCCGGAUUAAUACCGCAUACGACCUACGGGUGAAAGCGGGGGACCGUAAGGCCUCGCGCUGUUGGAGCGGCCGAUGUCGGGUUAGGUUGGUGGUGGGGUAAAGGCAGCCCAAGCCGACGAUCCGUAGCUGGUCUGAGAGGACGCCCAGCCACACUGGGACUGAGCCACGGCCCAGACUCCUACAGGAGGCAGCAGUGGGGAAUUUUGGACAAUGGGGGCAACCCUGAUCCAGCCAUGCCGCGUGCGGGAAGAAGGCCUUCGGGUUGUAAACCGCUUUUGUCGGGGAAGAAAUCUUCUGAGCUAAUACCUCGGGAGGAUGACGGUACCCGAAGAAUAAGCACCGGCUAACUACGUGCCAGCCGCCGCAGUAA